UACGUAGGGGGCAAGCGUUAUCCGGAUUUACUGGGUGUAAAGGGAGCGUAGACGGCAUUGCAAGUCUGAUGUGAAAGAUUGGGGCUCAACCCCAGGCCUGCAUUGGAAACUGUAAAGCUGGAGUACAGGAGAGGUAAGCGGAAUUCCUAGUGUAGCGGUGAAAUGCGUAGAUAUAUGGAGGAACACCGGUGGCGAAAGCGGCUCUCUGGCCUGUAACUGACACUGAGGCUCGAAAGCGUGGGGAGCAAACAGG
RNAcentral lists this ribosomal RNA (253 nucleotides) under uncultured bacterium. RNAcentral describes it as "partial 16S ribosomal RNA". It matches the Rfam family "Bacterial small subunit ribosomal RNA", at positions 524 to 776 of the family's 1533-position model. The record is from RNAcentral.